GAUGAACGCUGGCGGCGUGCUUAAUACAUGCAAGUCGAGCGAACGGACGAGACGCUUGCUUCUCUGAUGUUAGCGGCGGACGGGUGUGUAACACGUGUAUAACCUCCUUAUAAUACUGGUAUAACUUCGGGAAACCGGAGCUAAUACCGUAUGAUAUUUUGAUCCGCAUGGUUCAAAAGUAAAAUACGGCCUUGCUGUCUCUUAUCGAUGGAUCCCCGCUGCAUUAGCUAGUUGGUAAGGUAAUGGCUUAUCACGGCAACGAUGCCUAGACGACCUGAGAGGGUGAUCGGCCGCACUGGAACUGGGACACGGUCAAGACUCCUACGGGAGGCAGCAGUAGGGUAUCUUCCGCAGUGGGCGAAAGCCUGACGGAGCAACGCCGCGUGAGUGAUGAAGGUCUUCGGAUCGUAAAACUCUGUUAUUGGGGAAGAACAGAUGUGUAAGUAGCUGUGCACAUCUUGACGGUACCUAAUCAGAAAGCCACGGCUAACUACGUG
Molecule: ribosomal RNA, 497 nt
Filed under: uncultured bacterium
Lineage: Bacteria
Description: partial 16S ribosomal RNA
Rfam family: Bacterial small subunit ribosomal RNA
Source: RNAcentral